AUGGCAGAACAAGAGGCGGAGAAGCAAAGGGAUAAGUUGUUCAAUGACACUCGGCCUAUGGUACCUACAAAACUAGUGUGGAGGCCCAAACAAAUACGAUAUACAGUGGCCUCUACGCCUAUCACAGCAGCACCUACACUACCAAAAAAGGACGACGCAAUCAUUGCAUCCUCUACGUUACCUAUUGCUUCUUCUUCACUCGGACAAAUUUCUGAAUCGGUGGAUGCAGUUGAGGAGGAGGCUGAUAUGUUGGACUAUGAGUCUACACCGGUUCAUGAAGGUAUGGAUAUCAAUAUGGUGUAUUUUCGUGCUGUAGAUGAGGAAGGGGAGGUGGCUCAGCUGGAUUUUGGCCCUAAAAACGCGAUAUUCGAGAGGCCAAAAGAACUAGUAACGCUUCUGAAACCAUUAUAUCUCAGAGGUCAUAUCAAUGGGCCGCCGCUCACUCGCAUGCUUGUUGAUGGUGGUGCUGUGGUAAAUCUUAUGCCCUAUUCGGUCUUCAAGAAAUUGGGUUUGCCUGAUGAAGAAUUGAUCAAGACCAAUAUGGUGCUUAACGGGUUUGAAGGCAAAGAGAAAACUGAAGCCAAAGGUGUGAUGUGUGUGGAGCUUACAGUCGGAAGCAAAACUUUGGCUACUGCAUUCUUUGUCUCCGAGGUGCAAGGUAACUACAACGUCAUACUAGGCCGUGAUUGGGUUCAUGCAAACCAGUGCGUGCCAUCCACUAUGCACCAGUUUUUGAUUCAGUGGGUUGAUGAUGAAGUGGAAGUCAUUCAUGCGGAUAACUCGGCCUGUGUUGCUUUGGCCGAUGCGUCGGUGGAUUGGCAACAUCCCAAUGCUACUUGCUUGACGGGACGUGACUUAUCAAAGUUUGAUUUUCUCAGCGCAACCAAGAAUGGUUUUGUGCCCGUCUCUUUAAAGCCGACUGAAUGCAAUCGGCUCCAAGGUAUGAUAUGUUUAAAUGGAUUCUAG
Molecule: ribosomal RNA, 966 nt
Filed under: Triticum aestivum (bread wheat)
Lineage: Eukaryota; Viridiplantae; Streptophyta; Magnoliopsida; Poales; Poaceae
Description: partial small subunit ribosomal RNA
Source: RNAcentral